GUGGCUAUUUUUGCUUUGUCCUUGAUGUUUUCCUUUUGGUCGACAGCUUGGGCCAGGGCUCCAAGGUAGUUACAAAGCUGUCUGGUGACUGCAGGGAGAGGCUUAAGACAGAAGCCCUGACUUCAGGGGGAUGCAGAGGGGCCCAUCAAAGGUUUCUGGGCUCCUAGGCUGGUUGAGGGUGAACCUUUGGAAGAGUUACUGGCUCAACUCUCCCUCCACCCCACCCUCAGUCUGCAGGGGUUGGGGUAUGGGCUAUGGGUGGUUGUAAUCUACUUGAUGAGUUUCAGUUGCUCCUCCAGGAAGCCACUCUCUAGGAAGUCACAGGCAUGGAGGUCUGCGCGAGCAGAACCCAGGGCAGGCAGGUCCAAAAAGGCCUGGCUCAGGUUCUUAUCCAGGGCUGUGGCAGCUUCCUUAUUGUCUAGAGUUUUAUCCCAUUCAUCUUGGGACAGCUUCUGCACUCCUGAAAGAGGGUAGGGACACUGCGACCGUUUUGAAUCUUUAAGAGAUGCUGAGCGCCCUUAAGCUUCUCCACUGUGAAGUCACAGAAAUGACCCACCCCCUCCAGAGCCACAACCUUUUGAUUGAAAUAGAAGCCCAAAGAGAGGCUUUUAUACUCUUUUUAUACAACCAGUCUUUGGAUGUGAAAGGAUCCCUGGCGCGGGAGUGACCACAGACAUGGAAGCUCUUUUCAGGCUAAGGUAAAUAUAAUAACAUUAAGGUCAGAUGAAGUUGGACUUUGGAUAUGAAAUCAAAGACUUUGACCUUUACUUACAUUCCAGCAAUUCCUCAAUCUUGCUAUAUCUCAGAAUGACCUGGAAGCUUUAAAACUACAGACUCCAGGACUCCAACUCAGAUUGAAUAGCUAAGUACCUUGGCAAAAACUCAGAUGUUUUGAUGAAACAAGAUUGGCUGCUGCUGCUAAGUCACUUCACUCGUGUCCAACUCUGUGCGACCCCAUUGACGGCAGCCCACCAGGCUCCCCCGUCCCUGGGAUUCUCCAGGCAAGAACACUGGAGUGGGUUGCCAUUUC
Molecule: long non-coding RNA, 1030 nt
Organism: Bubalus bubalis (water buffalo)
Lineage: Eukaryota; Metazoa; Chordata; Mammalia; Artiodactyla; Bovidae
Exons: 4
Source: RefSeq, a predicted model, not a curated record